This 253-nucleotide ribosomal RNA is filed under the name uncultured bacterium. RNAcentral's name for it is "partial 16S ribosomal RNA". It matches the Rfam family "Bacterial small subunit ribosomal RNA", at positions 524 to 776 of the family's 1533-position model. The record is from RNAcentral.
UACGUAGGUGGCAAGCGUUGUCCGGAAUUAUUGGGCGUAAAGCGCGCGCAGGCGGUCCUUUAAGUCUGAUGUGAAAGCCCACGGCUCAACCGUGGAGGGUCAUUGGAAACUGGGGGACUUGAGUGCAGAAGAGGAGAGUGGAAUUCCGCGUGUAGCGGUGAAAUGCGUAGAGAUGUGGAGGAACACCAGUGGCGAAGGCGACUCUCUGGUCUGUAACUGACGCUGAGGCGCGAAAGCGUGGGGAGCAAACAGG